Molecule: transfer RNA, 62 nt
Filed under: Ruditapes decussatus
Lineage: Eukaryota; Metazoa; Mollusca; Bivalvia; Venerida; Veneridae
Description: tRNA-Glu
Source: RNAcentral
UUUCUUAUGGUGUAAGCAACACGUCAGUUUUUCGUACUGAAGAUGAUGAAGUUCUAAGGGAU